ACCUAAAAUGUCUCAUUAUUCAUCAAUUAAUGAAAAACAAAUGAAAAUUUGAGAGAGAUAUUCUGAAGAAUAAAAGGAUCAAGUUGGGUCAUUUCUAAAAUCUCAGAGACCUAAUAGGAUGGGGUCUUAGAGAAACAUCUUUUGAGCCACAGACUUCUUUGUUACCAGAAGGAAAAUGAAAGAAGAAAUUUAAAUACCACUUGAAGAGAGCCCUGCUUCUUUAGAAUUGACAGUCUGGCUUCGUGGUUAAUUCACAGCAUCUGAGGAAUACAUCCAAAGAGGGUGAUACUGUGGCAUGAUGGUACCAGGAUUCCAAGUUCAUUCCAGAGAAGAUGGCAAGAUGCAGAGAGGAGGAGUCACGCCUGAAGCCACACAGCUGACAUCAGAGCCAAAGCAUGAGCCUCAGUCUCUCUGACCCAGAGCUACCACCCUUGCUGCCUUGGGAAGAAGGAAGCCCCCUCCUAUUCUAUCCUUGAGCUGCCUUGGCAAGGAGGGGCCCCUUGCUGCCGCCAUCCUCACAGGACACCAUCCACAUGAGGGGAUGAAUCUCAGUUGCACUCAGUUGUUGCCCCCCUCGAACCUCCCUUGAGCCUCAGGAGAAACCACCCUGAUUCAGAGGUCCAGAGAAGACCUGACUAGCCCAAGGUAAUUCCGUCCCCUUGCCAGAGUGGCUUGGGCAGGGACACGGGACCUAUUUCAAUGAGGCCAAUGAGACAAAGGUAUUUCUGCUGGGGAGGCAGGGGCUUCAAGCAAAGGGUCUUGCUUGAAAGAGCCACCGGAAGAGGGCUCUCUCCUUCCUUAGGGUGUCACCGUGUCUGGAUGCGAUGCCUGGAAGUGCUACAGCCACUCGCGCCCAGCCUGAAGAUGAAACCAACCCCAAACACAGCCAAGCAGAGAGAUGGAAAGAACUAGGACCCUAAUUACACCACUGAGCAGCUAUAGCAACCAGUUCCAGAGCCCUCUGACUUCCCGCCAAAGUGAGAUGAUAAGAUACUGUUUAAUUUCUCUCUUUUAUAGCCAAACACACCAAAAUUGACACAGAGAUGUGAGCCAUACCUACUACUGUUACUGCUCCAUCCCUAGCUCCAACCACAGUGCAUGGUACAUGGUAGAGAGCCAACAAACACUUGAAGAAUGAAUGGUGCAUAUUGAGUGGGAUUUUCCAGAGGCAGACCUGGAGACAAGGCUUCAAGUGCGUGUGUUGUAUUAAGGAAAUGCUCCCAGGGGAC
This 1229-nucleotide long non-coding RNA is filed under the name Homo sapiens (human). RNAcentral's name for it is "synapse stability regulating cerebellar lncRNA". Lineage: Eukaryota; Metazoa; Chordata; Mammalia; Primates; Hominidae. The record is from RNAcentral.